GGGUCGUUAGCUCAGCUGGUAGAGCAUCGGACUUUUAAUCCGGUGGUCGUGCGUUCGAACCGCACACGACCCACUA
RNAcentral lists this transfer RNA (76 nucleotides) under Beggiatoa sp. PS. RNAcentral's name for it is "tRNA-Lys". It matches the Rfam family "tRNA". From Rfam's summary of the family: Transfer RNA (tRNA) molecules are approximately 80 nucleotides in length. Their secondary structure includes four short double-helical elements and three loops (D, anti-codon, and T loops). Further hydrogen bonds mediate the characteristic L-shaped molecular structure. tRNAs have two regions of fundamental functional importance: the anti-codon, which is responsible for specific mRNA codon recognition, and the 3' end, to which the tRNAs corresponding amino acid is attached (by aminoacyl-tRNA synthetases). tRNAs cope with the degeneracy of the genetic code in two manners: having more than one tRNA (with a specific anti-codon) for a particular amino acid; and 'wobble' base-pairing, i.e. permitting non-standard base-pairing at the 3rd anti-codon position. RNAcentral also lists the same sequence under 1 other name. The record is from RNAcentral. Lineage: Bacteria; Pseudomonadati; Pseudomonadota; Gammaproteobacteria; Thiotrichales; Thiotrichaceae.